GGUCUCCGUAGGUGAACCUGCGGAGGGAUCAUUACACAAUAAAAUACGAAGGCCGUUCGCGGCUGGACUAUUUAUUACCCUUGUCUUUUGCGCACUUGUUGUUUCCUGGGCGGGUUCGCUCGCCACCAGGACCACAAUAUAAACCUUUUUUAUGCAGUUGCAAUCAGCGUCAGUAUAACAAAUGUAAAUCAUUUACAACUUUCAACAACGGAUCUCUUGGUUCUGGCAUCGAUGAAGAACGCAGCGAAAUGCGAUACGUAGUGUGAAUUGCAGAAUUCAGUGAAUCAUCGAAUCUUUGAACGCACAUUGCGCCCUUUGGUAUUCCAAAGGGCAUGCCUGUUCGAGCGUCAUUUGUACCCUCAAGCUUUGCUUGGUGUUGGGCGUUUUUGUCCCCCCCAAAAGGGGGACUCGCCUUAAAAGGAUUGGCAGCCGGCCUACUGGUUUCGCAGCGCAGCACAUUUUUGCGCUUGCAAUCAGCAAAAGAGGACGGCAAUCCAUCAAGACUCCUUCUCACGUUUGACCUCGGAUCAGGUAGGGAUACCCGCUGAACUUAAGCAU
Molecule: ribosomal RNA, 558 nt
Filed under: fungal sp. 54901
Lineage: Eukaryota; Fungi
Description: eukaryotic LSU rRNA
Rfam family: 5.8S ribosomal RNA (bases 197-350)
Source: RNAcentral